This 72-nucleotide transfer RNA is filed under the name Bos taurus (domestic cattle). RNAcentral's name for it is "tdbR00000367". It matches the Rfam family "tRNA". Rfam says of the family: Transfer RNA (tRNA) molecules are approximately 80 nucleotides in length. Lineage: Eukaryota; Metazoa; Chordata; Mammalia; Artiodactyla; Bovidae. The record is from RNAcentral.
UGGUACUUAGUUUAAAAUAAAAUAAAUGAUUUCGACUCAUUAGAUUAUGAUUUAAUUCAUAAUUACCAACCA